ACAAGUCUCCCAAGGCUGAGUUCAUCCUCUACAGAGGGUUCAUUGGGCAGAGAAAACUUUUCAUCCUAGAGUGACUCACCCAAAUCGUACAACUCUCCCUAUAAUUUAAUGAUCUCGGGAUCAGAAAAGAAUGCUCAAAAUCAAAAAGAUAAUUUCAAACACUUCACAUGAUAACACCGCAUGAGUUCAACUUUCUGCUUCCUCUAGAAACUCCUUACAAGCCAAAGAUAUACUACAAACUAAUUGCAGAGGCCAUGAUGUGGGAACAAAAUGCUCAAUAAACAAAUUGCAGAAGAAGAAUGGAAAGGCAAUAAAGACAAGAAUUCAGUUGCAAUUUCAAUGAAUUUAACUGGGAUAAUUUUUCCCCCCUAUUGUUUGUAGAGAGUUUCCAAUGUAUUUAAGUGGGAUACAUUCUUUUCCCAAUUGUUUGUUACAAAGUUCAACCUCUCCCCAUGUUUAAUGACAGACUAAACAAUGAAAAUAAAUUCUAUGUUUGCCCGGGAUAGUAGGUGGGAUCAUGGCGGUGGCUUGAACUGCUGCCACUGCUAUCAGAAUCAUCUACUUCAUUACUAGCCAUGCUCUCUUCUUGUCCAAUUUGGUUGACUACUCCCGCAACACCUUCAUUCACUUCUAUAACAUCAGAAGAUAUCUCUAUAAUAUCAAGAGCAGGGUUUGGUGGCUGUUGCAUCUCAGGAAAUAGCCAAUUCAAAACCCUUCUGAUCAUUGGCCUUAUAAAGCAAGUUGCUGUGUCGAAGAAACCUAUAAAAACAAAUAAUUGCAAGUUAGUUGGAUACGCAUCGCCUUCUAUAAAACCAAGAACAUAAGCGAUAUCAAGAAAGUCACCUGUACUUCUUCGAAGAAGGUGUUGAAUAUAUACUAAUCUUUCCUCUUCACUCAAUUGAAGAAGUAUGUUUCUGAGAUCGGUUGCUG
Molecule: long non-coding RNA, 930 nt
Filed under: Solanum tuberosum (potato)
Lineage: Eukaryota; Viridiplantae; Streptophyta; Magnoliopsida; Solanales; Solanaceae
Description: long non-coding RNA (STUB_LNC010441)
Source: RNAcentral